RNAcentral lists this small nucleolar RNA (130 nucleotides) under Myotis brandtii (Brandt's bat). Its description in RNAcentral is "Small Cajal body specific RNA 24". It matches the Rfam family "Small Cajal body specific RNA 24". From Rfam's summary of the family: scaRNAs are a specific class of small nuclear RNAs which localise to the Cajal bodies and guide the modification of RNA polymerase II transcribed spliceosomal RNAs U1, U2, U4, U5 and U12. ACA12 belongs to the H/ACA box class of guide RNAs as it has the predicted hairpin-hinge-hairpin-tail structure,the conserved H/ACA-box motifs and is found associated with GAR1. Lineage: Eukaryota; Metazoa; Chordata; Mammalia; Chiroptera; Vespertilionidae. The record is from Rfam by way of RNAcentral.
UACACAUGACUGUAUUAAGAGUGGUGUAUUAAGGUGAAGAAAACUCUUUGUAAAUGUCCUAGAGAAAUAUAGUAGCUUUCUGUUCACACUUUGCAAGUAAAAAGGGUGGAUCGUUCCACUAUUGACAUAU